UUUCCCGCUCAGAGUGAACGCUGGCGGCAGGCCUAACACAUGCAAGUCGAACGGCAGCACAGAGGAGCUUGCUCCUUGGGUGGCGAGUGGCGGACGGGUGAGGAAUACGUCGGAAUCUGCCUAUUUGUGGGGGAUAACGUAGGGAAACUUACGCUAAUACCGCAUACGACCUACGGGUGAAAGCGGAGGACCUUCGGGCUUCGCGCAGAUAGAUGAGCCGACGUCGGAUUAGCUAGUUGGCGGGGUAAAGGCCCACCAAGGCGACGAUCCGUAGCUGGUCUGAGAGGAUGAUCAGCCACACUGGAACUGAGACACGGUCCAGACUCCUACGGGAGGCAGCAGUGGGGAAUAUUGGACAAUGGGCGCAAGCCUGAUCCAGCCAUGCCGCGUGUGUGAAGAAGGCCUUCGGGUUGUAAAGCACUUUUGUCCGGAAAGAAAAGCAUUGGGUUAAUACCCCGAUGUCAUGACGGUACCGGAAGAAUAAGCACCGGCUAACUUCGUGCCAGCAGCCGCGGUAAUACGAAGGGUGCAAGCGUUACUCGGAAUUACUGGGCGUAAAGCGUGCGUAGGUGGUUUGUUAAGUCUGAUGUGAAAGCCCUGGGCUCAACCUGGGAAUGGCAUUGGAAACUGGCUUACUAGAGUGCGGUAGAGGGUAGUGGAAUUCCCGGUGUAGCAGUGAAAUGCGUAGAUAUCGGGAGGAACAUCUGUGGCGAAGGCGACUACCUGGACCAGCACUACACUAGGCACAAUGUGC
Molecule: ribosomal RNA, 754 nt
Filed under: Lysobacter gummosus
Lineage: Bacteria; Pseudomonadati; Pseudomonadota; Gammaproteobacteria; Lysobacterales; Lysobacteraceae
Description: bacterial SSU rRNA
Rfam family: Bacterial small subunit ribosomal RNA
Source: RNAcentral